This 493-nucleotide ribosomal RNA is filed under the name uncultured bacterium. RNAcentral's name for it is "partial 16S ribosomal RNA". It matches the Rfam family "Bacterial small subunit ribosomal RNA", at positions 29 to 523 of the family's 1533-position model. The record is from RNAcentral.
AUUGAACGCUGGCGGCAUGCUUUACACAUGCAAGUCGAACGGUAACAGGUUAAGCUGACGAGUGGCGAACGGGAGAGUAAUGCAUCGGAACGUGCCCGGUCGUGGGGGAUAACGCAGCGAAAGCUGCGCUAAUACCGCAUACGAUCUGAGGAUGAAAGCGGGGGACCGUAAGGCCUCGCGCGAUCGGAGCGGCCGAUGUCAGAUUAGGUAGUUGGUGGGGUAAAGGCUCACCAAGCCGACGAUCUGUAGCUGGUCUGAGAGGACGACCAGCCACACUGGGACUGAGACACGGCCCAGACUCCUACGGGAGGCAGCAGUGGGGAAUUUUGGACAAUGGGCGCAAGCCUGAUCCAGCAAUGCCGCGUGCAGGAAGAGGGCCUUCGGGUUGUAAACUGCUUUUAUACGGAGCGAAAAGGCUCUCUCUAAUACAGGGGGCUCAUGACGGUACCGUAAGAAUAAGAACCGGCUAACUACGUGCCAGCCGCCGCGGUAA